RNAcentral lists this ribosomal RNA (1368 nucleotides) under Cryobacterium luteum. Its description in RNAcentral is "bacterial SSU rRNA". Lineage: Bacteria; Bacillati; Actinomycetota; Actinomycetes; Micrococcales; Microbacteriaceae. The record is from RNAcentral.
CUUGCUCCUUGGAUCAGUGGCGAACGGGUGAGUAACACGUGAGCAAUCUGCCCUUGACUCUGGGAUAACUGCGGGAAACUGUAGCUAAUACCGGAUAUUACCUUGGAAGGCAUCUUCUGGGGUGGAAAGAAUUUUGGUCAAGGAUGAGCUCGCGGCCUAUCAGCUAGUUGGUGAGGUAAUGGCUCACCAAGGCGACGACGGGUAGCCGGCCUGAGAGGGUGACCGGCCACACUGGGACUGAGACACGGCCCAGACUCCUACGGGAGGCAGCAGUGGGGAAUAUUGCACAAUGGGCGCAAGCCUGAUGCAGCAACGCCGCGUGAGGGACGACGGCCUUCGGGUUGUAAACCUCUUUUAGUAGGGAAGAAGCGACUGGKUUUUCCUGGRAGUGACGGUACCUGCAGAAAAAGCACCGGCUAACUACGUGCCAGCAGCCGCGGUAAUACGUAGGGUGCAAGCGUUGUCCGGAAUUAUUGGGCGUAAAGAGCUCGUAGGCGGUUUGUCGCGUCUGCUGUGAAAACCCGAGGCUCAACCUCGGGCCUGCAGUGGGUACGGGCAGACUAGAGUGCGGUAGGGGAGAUUGGAAUUCCUGGUGUAGCGGUGGAAUGCGCAGAUAUCAGGAGGAACACCAAUGGCGAAGGCAGAUCUCUGGGCCGUAACUGACGCUGAGGAGCGAAAGCAUGGGGGAGCGAACAGGAUUAGAUACCCUGGUAGUCCAUGCCGUAAACGUUGGGAACUAGAUGUGGGGACCAUUCCACGGUCUCCGUGUCGCAGCUAACGCAUUAAGUUCCCCGCCUGGGGAGUACGGCCGCAAGGCUAAAACUCAAAGGAAUUGACGGGGGCCCGCACAAGCGGCGGAGCAUGCGGAUUAAUUCGAUGCAACGCGAAGAACCUUACCAAGGCUUGACAUAUACCGGAAACGGCCAGAAAUGGUCGCCCCGCAAGGUCGGUAUACAGGUGGUGCAUGGUUGUCGUCAGCUCGUGUCGUGAGAUGUUGGGUUAAGUCCCGCAACGAGCGCAACCCUCGUCCUAUGUUGCCAGCACGUAAUGGUGGGAACUCAUGGGAUACUGCCGGGGUCAACUCGGAGGAAGGUGGGGAUGACGUCAAAUCAUCAUGCCCCUUAUGUCUUGGGCUUCACGCAUGCUACAAUGGCCGGUACAAAGGGCUGCGAUACCGCAAGGUGGAGCGAAUCCCAAAAAGCCGGUCUCAGUUCGGAUUGAGGUCUGCAACUCGACCUCAUGAAGUCGGAGUCGCUAGUAAUCGCAGAUCAGCAACGCUGCGGUGAAUACGUUCCCGGGCCUUGUACACACCGCCCGUCAAGUCAUGAAAGUCGGUAACACCCGAAGCCAGUGGCCGAACCCGUAAGG